AAGAAAUUAGUUAAUUUAUAAUAUUAGCUUGUCAUGCUAAAGUAAUCUUUAAGAUAUUUCUUA
This 63-nucleotide transfer RNA is filed under the name Rhithropanopeus harrisii. RNAcentral describes it as "tRNA-Asp". Lineage: Eukaryota; Metazoa; Arthropoda; Malacostraca; Decapoda; Panopeidae. The record is from RNAcentral.